This 73-nucleotide transfer RNA is filed under the name Felis catus (domestic cat). It matches the Rfam family "tRNA". From Rfam's summary of the family: Transfer RNA (tRNA) molecules are approximately 80 nucleotides in length. Their secondary structure includes four short double-helical elements and three loops (D, anti-codon, and T loops). RNAcentral also lists the same sequence under 1 other name. The record is from Rfam by way of RNAcentral. Lineage: Eukaryota; Metazoa; Chordata; Mammalia; Carnivora; Felidae.
GCCUGGUUGGCUCACUCCACGGAGCGUGUGACUCUUGAUUUCAGGGUUGUGAGUUCGAGCCCCACACUGGGUG